CAGUCGCCACGGUAAUACGAAGGGUGCAAGCGUUAAUCGGAAUUACUGGGCGUAAAGCGUGCGUAGGCGGUUUGUUAAGUCUGUUGUGAAAUCCCCGGGCUCAACCUGGGAAUGGCAAUGGAUACUGGCAAGCUAGAGUGUGUCAGAGGAUGGUGGAAUUUCCGGUGUAGCAGUGAAAUGCGUAGAGAUCGGAAGGAACAUCUGUGGCGAAGGCGACUAUCUGGGCCAACACUGACACUGAGGCGCGAAAGCGUGGGGAGCAAACAGGAUUAGAUACCCGGGUAGUCCCUGUCUCUUAUAC
RNAcentral lists this ribosomal RNA (301 nucleotides) under uncultured bacterium. RNAcentral's name for it is "partial 16S ribosomal RNA". It matches the Rfam family "Bacterial small subunit ribosomal RNA", at positions 509 to 807 of the family's 1533-position model. The record is from RNAcentral.